RNAcentral lists this ribosomal RNA (396 nucleotides) under uncultured bacterium. RNAcentral describes it as "bacterial SSU rRNA". It matches the Rfam family "Bacterial small subunit ribosomal RNA", at positions 28 to 430 of the family's 1533-position model. The record is from RNAcentral.
GACGAACGCUGGCGGCGUGCUUAACACAUGCAAGUCGAGCGGUAAGGCCCUUUCGGGGGUACACGAGCGGCGAACGGGUGAGCAACACGUGGGUGACCUGCCCUUAGCUCUGGGAUAAGCCUGGGAAACUGGGUCUAAUACCGGAUAUGACUCCAUGACGCAUGUUGUGGGGUGGAAAGCCUUGUGCGGCUAGGGAUGGGCCUGCGGCCUAUCAGCUUGUUGGUGGGGUGANGGCCUACCAAGGCGACGACGGGUAGCCGGCCUGAGAGGGCGACCGGCCACACUGGGACUGAGACACGGCCCAGACUCCUACGGGAGGCAGCAGUGGGGAAUCUUGCGCAAUGGGCGAAAGCCUGACGCAGCGACGCCGCGUGGGGAUGACGGCCUGGUGUAACU